UCCAAUGGCCCCUUCUCUCGUCCUUCUUCUUCUGUCUAACAAUACACUACCACACACUUUCACGCUCUCUUCUCUCACACCUUUCUUCUUCCUCACCCAAAAUUCUUCUCUCUAUGUUCUUCUUCAUCUUCUAGCUCUCUCAUCUCUUCUUCUCGCCAUAGCUUCACCUUCCUUCUCAAGCUGUACAGUUAAAGCUUAAGGUAUUAUAACCUCACCUUCUCUCUCUCUCUCUC
RNAcentral lists this small RNA (233 nucleotides) under Arabidopsis thaliana (thale cress). RNAcentral describes it as "ATSL068420". Lineage: Eukaryota; Viridiplantae; Streptophyta; Magnoliopsida; Brassicales; Brassicaceae. The record is from RNAcentral.